GGACUUAUAGCUCAGUGGUAGAGCGGUCGACUGCAGUGUCCCGGAGGGACCAGUCAUCGACAGGUCGCCGGAUCAACCCCGGCUGGGUCCU
Non-coding RNA from Zopfochytrium polystomum, 91 nucleotides. NCBI's taxonomy places the organism in Eukaryota, Fungi, Chytridiomycota, Chytridiomycetes, Chytridiales, Chytridiaceae. The record is from the annotation of a GenBank genome assembly.